RNAcentral lists this ribosomal RNA (254 nucleotides) under uncultured bacterium. RNAcentral describes it as "partial 16S ribosomal RNA". It matches the Rfam family "Bacterial small subunit ribosomal RNA", at positions 524 to 776 of the family's 1533-position model. The record is from RNAcentral.
UACGUAGGGUGCGAGCGUUGUCCGGAAUUAUUGGGCGUAAAGAGCUCGUAGGCGGUGUGUCACGUCGUGCGUGAAAACCUGCAGCUUAACUGUGGGCGUGCGGUCGAUACGGGCAUCACUGGAGUUCGGCAGGGGAGACUGGAAUUCCUGGUGUAGCGGUGAAAUGCGCAGAUAUCAGGAGGAACACCGGUGGCGAAGGCGGGUCUCUGGGCCGAUACUGACGCUGAGGAGCGAAAGCGUGGGGAGCAAACAGG